Molecule: non-coding RNA, 769 nt
Organism: Pelobates cultripes (western spadefoot toad)
Lineage: Eukaryota; Metazoa; Chordata; Amphibia; Anura; Pelobatidae
Source: the annotation of a GenBank genome assembly
AAGAAGCUCAAAUUAAACAUAAUUUGCAAAAAAGGAAGUGUAAACAUUAGACGACUAUGUACAGGAAGUGUUUAGGAAGAUAAUGUAAAUCACAUGCAGGGCUGUGUCUUGGGCAGCAUAAAGAAAGUGAUUGAACGUCUAAAUGGCAGGUUAUUGAGUGAUGAGACUUUAUGGGCAUUAUCUUUACACCAAAGCUGCUUCAUUAGGCUAAAGUUGUGUGACUACUGUGUCCCUUUAAUUACCAUGUUGCCCUCUUGCUGUACCCUCCCCAGUGCCCUAUAUUUCUACAGAGCCGGUUUCCCUCUUAUUGUAAACACUAGCUCACUAUGUUACUAACCCAUUACUCUCUGUCCCCACUCCCAGAUAGGACUACAAACCACAUUUACCUCUUCCAAUAACCUCCCAGCCAGUCUCCUAUGUUAUUACCCUCCCAGCCAGUCUCCCUCUUAGCACUGUUCCCAUUACUCAGCCCAAGGGCCUGGUUUAGUGCUGUGUGAAUGUAGAGAAAGGACCCCAUGUAUUACGGUAUUGAACCGGUUAUUGUGGGAGAGCGUCUCAGAGAGCACAUGGCAGUUACUGUGUCUAUGUGAAUGUGUCGUUUUUUCCUACUCUGCCGCUCACUGGGUAGAAAGCUUUUGUUGAGGUGAUGCCUCCUUACAUUUUUGGGGUUCCUGCACCCACCUAAGGCAUAUGUUACUGCCUGCCAGAAUAUAAACCGCUAGAAAACACAGAAAACCACGGCAGUAAUCAUUACUCGGCAGGAUUAUUG